Molecule: ribosomal RNA, 404 nt
Filed under: Fusobacteriota bacterium
Lineage: Bacteria; Fusobacteriati; Fusobacteriota
Description: Fusobacteria bacterium partial 16S ribosomal RNA
Rfam family: Bacterial small subunit ribosomal RNA
Source: RNAcentral
UGGGGAAUAUUGCACAAUGGAGGGAACUCUGAUGCAGCGACGCCGCGUGAGUGAUGAAGGAAUUCGUUUCGUAAAACUCUGUUCUAUGGGAAGAAAAGGACUGUACCAUAGGAGAAAGCUCCGGCUAAAUACGUGCCAGCAGCCGCGGUAAUACGUAUGGAGCGAGCGUCGUCCGGAAUUAUUGGGCGUAAAGGGUGCGCAGGCGGCUUUACAAGUUGGAUGUGAAAUAUUGUGGCUCAACCACAAACGUGCAUCCAAAACUGCAAAGCUUGAGUUAAGGAGAGGUAAGUGGAAUUCCUGGUGUAGCGGUGGAAUGCGUAGAUAUCAGGAGGAAUACCGGUGGCGAAGGCGACUUACUGGACUUGAACUGACGCUCAGGCACGAAAGCGUGGGGAGCAAACAGU